UGGGGAAUCUUGCGCAAUGCACGAAAGUGUGACGCAGCAACGCCGCGUGGGGGAAGAAGGUCUUCGGAUUGUAAACCCCUUUCAGUUGGGACGAGGGUUACACGGUGAAUAGCCGGCGUAACUGACGGUACCUUCAGAAGAAGCCCCGGCUAACUACGUGCCAGCAGCCGCGGUAAUACGUAGGGGGCAAGCGUUAUCCGGAAUCAUUGGGCGUAAAGCGCGUGUAGGCGGUUAGGUAAGUCCGCUCUGAAAGCCCAGGGCUCAACCCUGGGAGGCGGGUGGAAACUACUUGACUAGAGUCCGGAAGAGGAGAUUGGAAUUCCUGGUGUAGCGGUGAAAUGCGCAGAUAUCAGGAGGAACACCAACAGCGAAGGCAGAUCUCUGGGACGUGACUGACGCUGAGACGCGAAAGCGUGGGGGAGCAAACAGGAUUAGAUACCCUGGUGUCCACGCCGUAAACGUGAAUACUAGGUGUAGGGGGUAUCGACUCCCUCUGUGCCGAAGCUAACGCAUUAAGUAUUCCGCCUGGGGAGUACGGCCGCAAGGCUAAAACUCAAAGGAAUUGACGGGGUCAUAGCUGUUUCCUG
Molecule: ribosomal RNA, 587 nt
Filed under: uncultured bacterium
Lineage: Bacteria
Description: partial 16S ribosomal RNA
Rfam family: Bacterial small subunit ribosomal RNA
Source: RNAcentral